GCAACAUUUAGUCCAUUUUGCCCGCAACCAACUCCAUAUCAGCCAAUCACAAGCCGACUCUCUUAGCCAAUCACAAUCCAGCAGUAGUAAGCAUCAGCAGCAGAACCCAACUACUACAUCACAGCAAUUGUUCAACGCAACUCCCACCAUCACCGCCCCUGCUCAAAUGCAGCAAUCAAAAUCACCAAUCAACCAAACCAGUAAUCGAAACAACUCAGCCACGACAGCAGCGGAUGAAAGAAUGCACGAGCACUCGAUGCCAAUGGAGCAAAGCUAAAAUAAGCAACCGCGAGUGGUUCAAACAAUACAAAACAAAAUGAAUCUGUAACAUAAACUCAAUACAACUCUUUAUGCAACCGUUCAUAUUUUGCUCUCAGUAUUUUCUUCACUCCUUUUAUAUUUUACUGCCUUAAAUACUGUAAAUUGACCCGAGGUCACUUUAAUAACCUUUCAUAAUUUCUCUAUUUUAUAUCAAAGUUCUAUAUAUUCUUUUUGUACUUCGCAAUGUGAAGUUUACCAUUUGAAUUUUAUCGUUUAAUUGAUAUCUAGUAAUGUUGUGUGGCAUGAUCAAUUUGGCUAGUGUGUCGUAGGAGCUAGUUAGAAUAGAUCUCAGUAUUUAAUGUCUCUUUUUCUCGGAAUUCUUUCUGCUGUAAUGACUGUUCCAACAAUAGUGUCCCAAAUGCAAUUGUGCAUUCUACUUCUCUUCAAUACCGCUGCAGUUUAAAAGAACUUAACUCGAUGUUUGUACAUUUUUUUCACACCGAUUUCAAAGUAUAUAAAGAUGAGCUCCAAUUAAGUUUCGAUGUUUCGAAUUCCUUGUGCAAACCUUAUUAUUUGGCACCUAUAAAGCCCUGGCUCUUUAUCUAUCGAAUCAAAUGUGUUUAACUGAAAUAAUUGUUUUAAUUUUAGGGCAAAUUUGCAAUGCCCGAGAGUGUCUAUUGUUUUCUAUUUUCACUUUUUCAUUUUAUUUAGCAAUGGUGCUAAUAUAGAAAUCUAGUUUAAUUGUAAUAAAUAAUGAUAAUACGGCUUCUGUGUUUGAAAAACAGCUAUAUUGAAUGUAUCAAAAU
This is a long non-coding RNA of Symsagittifera roscoffensis, 1067 nucleotides long. RefSeq lists it as uncharacterized. The record is from RefSeq and is a predicted model, not a curated record. The transcript is spliced from 2 exons. Lineage: Eukaryota; Metazoa; Xenacoelomorpha; Acoela; Convolutidae.